AGCUUGCUCUAGGGAAUUAGUGGCGAACGGGUGAGUAACACGUGAGUAACCUGCCCUUGACUCUGGGAUAACCUCCGGAAACGGAAGCUAAUACCGGAUACGACGCACGGAGGCAUCUCCUGUGCGUGGAAAGAACUUCGGUCAAGGAUGGACUCGCGGCCUAUCAGGUAGUUGGUGAGGUAACGGCUCACCAAGCCUACGACGGGUAGCCGGCCUGAGAGGGUGACCGGCCACACUGGGACUGAGACACGGCCCAGACUCCUACGGGAGGCAGCAGUGGGGAAUAUUGCACAAUGGGCGCAAGCCUGAUGCAGCAACGCCGCGUGAGGGAUGACGGCCUUCGGGUUGUAAACCUCUUUUAGUAGGGAAGAAGCGAAAGUGACGGUACCUGCAGAAAAAGCACCGGCUAACUACGUGCCAGCAGCCGCGGUAAUACGUAGGGUGCGAGCGUUGUCCGGAAUUAUUGGGCGUAAAGAGCUCGUAGGCGGUCUGUCGCGUCUGCUGUGAAAUCCCGAGGCUCAACCUCGGGCCUGCAGUGGGUACGGGCAGACUAGAGUGCGGUAGGGGAGAAUGGAAUUCCUGGUGUAGCGGUGGAAUGCGCAGAUAUCAGGAGGAACACCGAUGGCGAAGGCAGUUCUCUGGGCCGUAACUGACGCUGAGGAGCGAAAGCGUGGGGAGCGAACAGGAUUAGAUACCCUGGUAGUCCACGCCGUAAACGUUGG
This 722-nucleotide ribosomal RNA is filed under the name Actinomycetes bacterium. RNAcentral describes it as "bacterial SSU rRNA". It matches the Rfam family "Bacterial small subunit ribosomal RNA", at positions 77 to 812 of the family's 1533-position model. Lineage: Bacteria; Bacillati; Actinomycetota; Actinomycetes. The record is from RNAcentral.